RNAcentral lists this ribosomal RNA (801 nucleotides) under Erysiphe epigena. RNAcentral describes it as "eukaryotic LSU rRNA". It matches the Rfam family "Eukaryotic large subunit ribosomal RNA", at positions 1 to 815 of the family's 3401-position model. Lineage: Eukaryota; Fungi; Ascomycota; Leotiomycetes; Helotiales; Erysiphaceae. The record is from RNAcentral.
UUGACCUCGAAUCAGGUAGGAAUACCCGCUGAACUUAAGCAUAUCAAUAAGCGGAGGAAAAGAAACCAACCGGGAUUACCUCAGUAACGGCGAGUGAAGCGGUAACAGCUCAAAUUUGAAAUCUGGCUCCUGCGGAGUCCGAGUUGUAAUUUGUAGAAGAUGCUUUGGGUUGUGGGUUCGGCCUAAGUUCCUUGGAACAGGACGUCAUAGAGGGUGAGAAUCCCGUAUGUGGCCGAGGCCCGCGCCUAUGUAAAGCUCUUUCAACGAGUCGAGUUGUUUGGGAAUGCAGCUCAAAAUGGGUGGUAAAUUUCAUCUAAAGCUAAAUAUGGGCCAGAGACCGAUAGCGCACAAGUAGAGUGAUCGAAAGAUGAAAAGCACUUUGGAAAGAGAGUUAAACAGUACGUGAAAUUGUUGAAAGGGAAGCGCUUGCAACCAGACUUGGGCGCUGCCGAUCACCCCGAGUUCUCUCUGGUGCACUCGACAGCGUACAGGCCAGCAUCGGUUCGGGUGGCUGGAUAAAGGCCGUAGGAACGUAGCUCCCUCCGGGGAGUGUUAUAGCCUACGGUGCCAUGCAGCCCAGCCGGACCGAGGACCGCGCCUUCGGGCUAGGAUGCUGGCGUAAUGGUUGUAAGCGACCCGUCUUGAAACACGGACCAAGGAGUCUAACAUCUAUGCGAGUGUUUGGGUGGCAAACCCAUACGCGGAAUGAAAGUGAACGUAGGUGAGAACCCCUUUGGGGCGCAUCAUCGACCGAUCCUGAUGUCUUCGGAUGGAUUUGAGUAAGAGCAUAGCUGUUGGGAC